RNAcentral lists this ribosomal RNA (496 nucleotides) under uncultured bacterium. RNAcentral describes it as "partial 16S ribosomal RNA". It matches the Rfam family "Bacterial small subunit ribosomal RNA", at positions 29 to 507 of the family's 1533-position model. The record is from RNAcentral.
AUGAACGCUGGCGGCGUGCCUAAUACAUGCAAGUCGAGCGAACGGACGAGAAGCUUGCUUCUCUGAUGUUAGCGGCGGACGGGUGAGUAACACGUGGAUAACCUACCUAUAAGACUGGGAUAACUUCGGGAAACCGGAGCUAAUACCGGAUAAUAUUUUGAACCGCAUGGUUCAAUAGUGAAAGACGGUCUUGCUGUCACUUAUAGAUGGAUCCGCGCUGCAUUAGCUAGUUGGUAAGGUAACGGCUUACCAAGGCAACGAUGCAUAGCCGACCUGAGAGGGUGAUCGGCCACACUGGAACUGAGACACGGUCCAGACUCCUACGGGAGGCAGCAGUAGGGAAUCUUCCGCAAUGGGCGAAAGCCUGACGGAGCAACGCCGCGUGAGUGAUGAAGGUCUUCGGAUCGUAAAACUCUGUUAUUAGGGAAGAACAUAUGUGUAAGUAACUGUGCACAUCUUGACGGUACCUAAUCAGAAAGCCACGGCUAACUACGUG